GGGAAAUUAGUUAAACAAUAACGUAAGCAUGUCAAGCUUAAAUUACUGAUGUAGUAUUUCCUU
This 63-nucleotide transfer RNA is filed under the name Leptestheria dahalacensis. RNAcentral's name for it is "tRNA-Asp". The record is from RNAcentral. Lineage: Eukaryota; Metazoa; Arthropoda; Branchiopoda; Diplostraca; Leptestheriidae.